This 779-nucleotide ribosomal RNA is filed under the name uncultured cyanobacterium. RNAcentral describes it as "bacterial SSU rRNA". It matches the Rfam family "Bacterial small subunit ribosomal RNA", at positions 578 to 1356 of the family's 1533-position model. The record is from RNAcentral. Lineage: Bacteria; Bacillati; Cyanobacteriota.
GUCGGACAAGUCACUUGUGAAAUCUGAAAGCUUAACUUUCAGCGGCCAAGUGAAACUGUUUGACUGGAGUGCGGAAGGGGCCAUCGGAAUUCUCGGUGUAGCGGUGAAAUGCGUAGAUAUCGAGAGGAACACCUGCGGCGAAGGCGGGUGGCUGGGCCGACACUGACGCUGAGGCGCGAAAGCUAGGGGAGCGAACGGGAUUAGAUACCCCGGUAGUCCUAGCCCUAAACGAUGGAUGCUUGGUGUCUGGGGUUUAGAAGUCCCCGGGUGCCGGCGCUAACGCAUUAAGCAUCCCGCCUGGGGAGUACGGUCGCAAGACUGAAACUCAAAGGAAUUGACGGGGGCCCGCACAAGCAGCGGAGCAUGUGGUUUAAUUCGAUGCAACGCGAAGAACCUUACCAGGGCUUGACAUGUCGCGAAUCUCAGGGAAACUUGAGAGUGCCUUCGGGAGCCGGAACACAGGUGGUGCAUGGCUGUCGUCAGCUCGUGUCGUGAGAUGUUGGGUUAAGUCCCGCAACGAGCGCAACCCUCGUUUUUAGUUGCCAGCAUUAAGUUGGGCACUCUAGAGAGACUGCCGGUGACAAACCGGAGGAAGGUGGGGAUGACGUCAAGUCAGCAUGCCCCUUACGUCCUGGGCUACACACGUACUACAAUGCUACGGACAAAGGGCAGCAAGUUAGCGAUGACAAGCAAAUCCCAUAAACCGUGGCUCAGUUCAGAUUGCAGGCUGCAACUCGCCUGCAUGAAGUUGGAAUCGCUAGUAAUCGCAGGUCAGCACU